AUUCUAAUCUAAAUUUGGUUGUGUUUGGCUAGUCUAAUGGGGUCAUGUUAGUCGGGUUGAGUUGGGCUAUGCCAUCUUAAUUGGAUUAAAUUAGGUCAAAUAGAAAGUUUAAGAUACGGAAGAGUUUGUGGAUGCUUUUAUUGAAUUAAUAUUUGUUCAAUCAUUCAUAAAUUUUAAUAACUCACUAAUACAUAAUUUAGUAAGCUUGAAGACAUAAUUACAUAGACA
This 228-nucleotide long non-coding RNA is filed under the name Elaeis guineensis (African oil palm). Its description in RNAcentral is "long non-coding RNA (EGUI_LNC001783)". Lineage: Eukaryota; Viridiplantae; Streptophyta; Magnoliopsida; Arecales; Arecaceae. The record is from RNAcentral.